RNAcentral lists this transfer RNA (72 nucleotides) under Blattella germanica (German cockroach). Its description in RNAcentral is "tRNA-Ala (CGC) (tRNA-Ala-CGC-8-1)". It matches the Rfam family "tRNA". Rfam says of the family: Transfer RNA (tRNA) molecules are approximately 80 nucleotides in length. Lineage: Eukaryota; Metazoa; Arthropoda; Insecta; Blattodea; Blattellidae. The record is from RNAcentral.
GGCGAUGUAGCUCAGUGGUAGAGCGUUCGCUUCGCAUGCGAAAGGCCCCGGGUUCAAUUCCCGGUAUCUCCA